Molecule: ribosomal RNA, 252 nt
Filed under: uncultured bacterium
Lineage: Bacteria
Description: partial 16S ribosomal RNA
Rfam family: Bacterial small subunit ribosomal RNA
Source: RNAcentral
UACGUAGGGGGCAAGCGUUAUCCGGAAUUAUUGGGCGUAAAGAGUAUGUAGGUGGUUUAGUAAGCGUGUGGUGAAAGACCGAAGCUCAACUUCGGUUAGCCUUGCGAACUGCUAGACUUGAGUGCAGGAGAGGAAAGUGGAAUUCCUAGUGUAGCGGUGAAAUGCGUAGAUAUUAGGAGGAACACCAGUGGCGAAGGCGACUUUCUGGACUGUAACUGACACUGAGAUACGAAAGCGUGGGUAGCAAACAGG